Molecule: ribosomal RNA, 482 nt
Filed under: uncultured bacterium
Lineage: Bacteria
Description: partial 16S ribosomal RNA
Rfam family: Bacterial small subunit ribosomal RNA
Source: RNAcentral
AUUGAACGCUGGCGGCAUGCUUUACACAUGCAAGUCGAACGGCAGCGCGGGCUUCGGCCUGGCGGCGAGUGGCGAACGGGUGAGUAAUGCAGGAACGUGCCCAGUAGUGGGGGAUAGCCCGGCGAAAGCCGGAUUAAUACCGCAUACGACCUGGGGGUGAAAGCGGGGGACCGAAAGGCCUCGCGCUAUUGGAGCGGCCGAUGUCGGAUUAGCUAGUUGGUGGGGUAAAGGCUUACCAAGGCGACGAUCCGUAGCUGGUCUGAGAGGACGACCAGCCACACUGGGACUGAGACACGGCCCAGACUCCUACGGGAGGCAGCAGUGGGGAAUUUUGGACAAUGGGGGCAACCCUGAUCCAGCCAUGCCGCGUGCGGGAAGAAGGCCUUCGGGUUGUAAACCGCUUUUGUUCGGGAAGAAAUCCUCUGGGCUAAUACCCCGGGGGGAUGACGGUACCGGAAGAAUAAGCACCGGCUAACUACGUG